GGAGAGAUGCCGGAGCGGUCGAACGGGGCGGUCUCGAAAACCGUUGACCCCCUCUGGGGGUCCCAGGGUUCGAAUCCCUGUCUCUCCG
Molecule: transfer RNA, 88 nt
Filed under: Bacteroidales bacterium
Lineage: Bacteria; Pseudomonadati; Bacteroidota; Bacteroidia; Bacteroidales
Description: tRNA-Ser
Rfam family: tRNA
About the family: Transfer RNA (tRNA) molecules are approximately 80 nucleotides in length.
Source: RNAcentral